Molecule: ribosomal RNA, 497 nt
Filed under: uncultured bacterium
Lineage: Bacteria
Description: partial 16S ribosomal RNA
Rfam family: Bacterial small subunit ribosomal RNA
Source: RNAcentral
GACGAACGCUGGCGGCGUGCCUAAUACAUGCAAGUUGAGCGAUGAAGAUUGGUGCCUGCACCAAUUUGAAGAGCAGCGAACGGGUGAGUAACGCGUGGGGAAUCUGCCUUUGAGCGGGGGACAACAUUUGGAAACGAAUGCUAAUACCGCAUAACAACUUUAAACAUAAGUUUUAAGUUUGAAAGAUGCAAUUGCAUCACUCAAAGAUGAUCCCGCGUUGUAUUAGCUAGUUGGUGAGGUAAAGGCUCACCAAGGCGAUGAUACAUAGCCGACCUGAGAGGGUGAUCGGCCACAUUGGGACUGAGACACAGCCCAAACUCCUACGGGAGGCAGCAGUAGGGAAUCUUCGGCAAUAGACGAAAGUCUGACCGAGCAACGCCGCGUGAGUGAAGAAGGUUUUCGGAUCGUAAAACUCUGUUGGUAGAGAAGAACGUUGGUGAGAGUGGAAAGCUCAUCAAGUGACGGUAACUACCCAGAAAGGGACGGCUAACUACGUG